This 497-nucleotide ribosomal RNA is filed under the name uncultured bacterium. RNAcentral describes it as "partial 16S ribosomal RNA". It matches the Rfam family "Bacterial small subunit ribosomal RNA", at positions 28 to 507 of the family's 1533-position model. The record is from RNAcentral.
GACGAACGCUGGCGGCGUGCCUAAUACAUGCAAGUUGAGCGCUGAAGGUUGGUACUUGUACCGACUGGAUGAGCAGCGAACGGGUGAGUAACGCGUGGGGAAUCUGCCUUUGAGCGGGGGACAACAUUUGGAAACGAAUGCUAAUACCGCAUAAAAACUUUAAACACAAGUUUUAAGUUUGAAAGAUGCAAUUGCAUCACUCAAAGAUGAUCCCGCGUUGUAUUAGCUAGUUGGUGAGGUAAAGGCUCACCAAGGCGAUGAUACAUAGCCGACCUGAGAGGGUGAUCGGCCACAUUGGGACUGAGACACGGCCCAAACUCCUACGGGAGGCAGCAGUAGGGAAUCUUCGGCAAUGGACGAAAGUCUGACCGAGCAACGCCGCGUGAGUGAAGAAGGGUUUCGGAUCGUAAAACUCUGUUGGUAGAGAAGAACGUUGGUGAGAGUGGAAAGCUCAUCAAGUGACGGUAACUACCCAGAAAGGGACGGCUAGCUACGUG